CAGCCGGUGCCCCUGGUGGUGGUGGUACGUCAGGGACCUCGCGAAGUGGAACGGCUUCUUGCCGCAGCUCCCGCUCCCUCCUCCUCCUCCACCACUCAUAGCCGCCUUGCUGCAGCCAUCCUCCAUCUCACUCCGCCGGCGCUCAGCCGCCGCCGCCGCCGUAGAAGCUGAGGCGAAGUUCCGUUCGGUUCUUGGCUAUGGCGGUUGCCGCGAGGCGAGGAAAGGGGAAAAGAAAGGAAGCGAAUUGGGGAAAGCGAGAAUGGAAUUAGCCGUGAACGUGGGGUUUAGUGGCGUAUAAAUAUUUUCUUCUGAAGCUGAAUUUUUCUGACGGUAUUCUUGUUCUUGUUUCCCUUUUCCCGUUUUUUCAGAGGUGGUUUUGUUUGUUUGUUUGUUUUUUUCCCCAAUAGUAGCAUUAGCACUAAUGAUAUCUGGUGAUUAGUUAACAACUAUGAGUUAAUAAUUUACAGGUUCAGAGCUGGGUACUUAAUUCUGUUUGGGUUGUUUUUGAGUUGCAACAACAUUUUUUGCCGUUUCUUCCCUUAAUUCUGAAGCAUUUGUUUGUUCAAUUGGUUAGUUUUGUUGGCUGUGAAUAGACUGGUUUGGGUGUUGGAGUCGAAACCCGUUAAUGCAUGGCUUUGUGCAGCCAGAAAGAAGGUUCCUGAAUAUGUAUGUCAUGGUCAACCUGAACGAGAGGCUGUCAUUUUACUCCUCUAACACAUUUUCC
Molecule: long non-coding RNA, 724 nt
Filed under: Oryza brachyantha (malo sina)
Lineage: Eukaryota; Viridiplantae; Streptophyta; Magnoliopsida; Poales; Poaceae
Description: long non-coding RNA (OBRA_LNC002134)
Source: RNAcentral